Molecule: ribosomal RNA, 164 nt
Filed under: Diplasiolejeunea replicata
Lineage: Eukaryota; Viridiplantae; Streptophyta; Jungermanniopsida; Porellales; Lejeuneaceae
Description: partial 18S ribosomal RNA
Rfam family: Eukaryotic small subunit ribosomal RNA
Source: RNAcentral
CCCGUCGCUCCUACCGAUUGAAUGGUCCGGUGAAGUUUUCGGAUCGCGGCGACGCCGGCGGUUCGCCGCCGCUGUUGUUGUGAGAAGUUCAUUAAACCUUAUCAUUUAGAGGAAGGAGAAGUCGUAACAAGGUUUCCGUAGGUGAACCUGCGGAAGGAUCAUUG